RNAcentral lists this unclassified non-coding RNA (347 nucleotides) under Hevea brasiliensis (rubber tree). Lineage: Eukaryota; Viridiplantae; Streptophyta; Magnoliopsida; Malpighiales; Euphorbiaceae. The record is from RNAcentral.
UUUCUACAUCAUCUUCCAGAAGAAGAAACGAUGCUUCCAGAAUUUCGGAUGUGGAUAGUGGAGAUUCACGUGCACCUAGGAGGAGGAGGUUAAACUGAUUUGCGUUCCUUCUUAUCAUGUUCGGCCUCCAAAGCACCCCCUUCCCCCCUCCAUUACCCAUAUGUCAUUGAUACUUCUGAGUUUCUUUAGGUGUAUCGGUAGGAAAUGUACUCUUUUCCUUGAGUUUCAUGAUACCUUUUUCAGUUUACUGCUUAGUCUUCUACCAUUAGUUUCGUUAUCCGACAGGUCCAAGCUUUCCAGCUACAAGACAUAUGAAAAGAGGAAAAAAAAGUUGUUUAAAAUAAUCG